Molecule: transfer RNA, 68 nt
Filed under: Leptomyrmex pallens
Lineage: Eukaryota; Metazoa; Arthropoda; Insecta; Hymenoptera; Formicidae
Description: tRNA-Leu
Source: RNAcentral
AAUUGUUUUGGCAGAAAAGUGCGAUAAAUUUAGGAUUUAUUAAAAUAUUAAUUAGUAAUAUAUGCAAU